CUUCCGUAGGUGAACCUGCGGAAGGAUCAUUAUU
Molecule: ribosomal RNA, 34 nt
Filed under: Cortinarius alboviolaceus
Lineage: Eukaryota; Fungi; Basidiomycota; Agaricomycetes; Agaricales; Cortinariaceae
Also listed under: 2 other names
Description: partial 18S ribosomal RNA
Source: RNAcentral